CGCAGCCUACGGGGGCAGCAGUGGGGAAUAUUGCACAAUGGGGGAAACCCUGAUGCAGCGACGCCGCGUGAGCGAUGAAGUAUUUCGGUAUGUAAAGCUCUAUCAGCAGGGAAGAAGAUGACGGUACCUGACUAAGAAGCCCCGGCUAACUACGUGCCAGCAGCCGCGGUAAUACGUAGGGGGCAAGCGUUAUCCGGAUUUACUGGGGGUAAAGGGAGCGUAGACGGCGGGGAAAGCCGGAUGUGAAAGCCCGGGGCUCAGCCCCGGG
RNAcentral lists this ribosomal RNA (268 nucleotides) under uncultured bacterium. RNAcentral's name for it is "partial 16S ribosomal RNA". It matches the Rfam family "Bacterial small subunit ribosomal RNA", at positions 332 to 619 of the family's 1533-position model. The record is from RNAcentral.